Molecule: non-coding RNA, 337 nt
Organism: Escherichia coli str. K-12 substr. MG1655
Lineage: Bacteria; Pseudomonadati; Pseudomonadota; Gammaproteobacteria; Enterobacterales; Enterobacteriaceae
Source: Rfam
GUUUCCGUGUCCAUCCUUGUUAAAACAAGAAAUUUUACGGAAUAACCCAUUUUGCCCGACCGAUCAUCCACGCAGCAAUGGCGUAAGACGUAUUGAUCUUUCAGGCAGUUAGCGGGCUGCGGGUUGCAGUCCUUACCGGUAGAUGGAAAUAUUUCUGGAGAGUAAUACCCAGUCUGUUUCUUUGAUAAUUGCGCUGUUUUUCCGCAUGAAAAACGGGCAACCGACACUCUGCGCCUCUUUGAGCUGACGAUAACCGUGAGGUUGGCGACGCGACUAGACACGAGGCCAUCGGUUCACACCCGGAAAGGCGUUACUUUGCCCGCAGCUUAGUCGUCAA